GGUAGUCCACGCCGUAAACGAUGUCGACUUGGAGGUUGUUCCCUUGAGGAGUGGCUUCCGGAGCUAACGCGUUAAGUCGACCGCCUGGGGAGUACGGCCGCAAGGUUAAAACUCAAAUGAAUUGACGGGGGCCCGCACAAGCGGUGGAGCAUGUGGUUUAAUUCGAUGCAACGCGAAGAACCUUACCUGGCCUUGACAUCCACGGAAUUUGGCAGAGAUGCCUUAGUGCCUUCGGGAACCGUGAGACAGGUGCUGCAUGGCUGUCGUCAGCUCGUGUUGUGAAAUGUUGGGUUAAGUCCCGUAACGAGCGCAACCCUUGUCCUUAGUUACCAGCACGUUAUGGUGGGCACUCUAAGGAGACUGCCGGUGACAAACCGGAGGAAGGUGGGGAUGACGUCAAGUCAUCAUGGCCCUUACGGCCUGGGCUACACACGUGCUACAAUGGUCGGUACAGAGGGUUGCCAAGCCGCGAGGUGGAGCUAAUCUCACAAAACCGAUCGUAGUCCGGAUCGCAGUCUGCAACUCGACUGCGUGAAGUCGGAAUCGCUAGUAAUCGCGAAUCAGAAUGUCGCGGUGAAUACGUUCCCGGGCCUUGUACACACCGCCCGUCACACCAUGGGAGUGGGUUGCUCCAGAAGUAGCUAGUCUAACUUCGGGAGGACGGUUACCACGGUGUGAUUCAUGACUGGGGUGAAGUCGUAACAAGGUAACC
RNAcentral lists this ribosomal RNA (712 nucleotides) under uncultured bacterium. RNAcentral describes it as "bacterial SSU rRNA". It matches the Rfam family "Bacterial small subunit ribosomal RNA", at positions 789 to 1501 of the family's 1533-position model. The record is from RNAcentral.